Molecule: ribosomal RNA, 212 nt
Filed under: uncultured bacterium
Lineage: Bacteria
Description: partial 16S ribosomal RNA
Rfam family: Bacterial small subunit ribosomal RNA
Source: RNAcentral
CAGUUCGGAUUGCAGUCUGCAACCCGACUACAUGAAGCUGGAAUCGCUAGUAAUCGCGGACCAGAAUGCCGCGGUGAAUACGUUCCCGGGUCUUGUACACACCGCCCGUCACACCAUGGGAGUCGGAAAUGCCCGAAGUCUGUGACCCAACCUUAGGGAGGGAGCAGCCGAAGGCAGGUCGGAUGACUGGGGUGAAGUCGUAACAAGGUACC